UUCGGAAUUACUGGGCGUAAAGGGCUCGUAGGCGGUUCGCUAAGUCGGGUGUGAAAUCUCCACGCUCAACGUGGAGAGGCCAUUCGAUACUGUCGUGACUCGAGUCCGGUAGGGGAGUGUGGAAUUCCCGGUGUAGCGGUGAAAUGCGCAGAGAUCGGGAGGAACACCCGUAGCGAAGGCGGCACUCUGGGCCGGUACUGACGCUGAGGAGCGAAAGCGUGGGGAGCAAACAGG
This 234-nucleotide ribosomal RNA is filed under the name uncultured bacterium. Its description in RNAcentral is "partial 16S ribosomal RNA". It matches the Rfam family "Bacterial small subunit ribosomal RNA", at positions 544 to 776 of the family's 1533-position model. The record is from RNAcentral.